Long non-coding RNA from Humulus lupulus (European hop), 386 nucleotides. RefSeq lists it as uncharacterized. The record is from RefSeq and is a predicted model, not a curated record. Lineage: Eukaryota; Viridiplantae; Streptophyta; Magnoliopsida; Rosales; Cannabaceae. The transcript has 3 exons.
UGGUUAUUUAUGGUUCGAGUACAUUUACAAGCUCGACAAGGUUUCAUAUAACAAGUUCCAUCCCUACACCUCAUGGAUCCCUAUAACGUGCGUGUUAUACAUGAGGUUAUAUAAGUUUGCGGAACUUCACCCAGCAGUUCCGAAAUUUCUCCAUAUAAAUUGUCUAACCCUUAAAAAGGCUCAAACAUCAGGAUCAUUUAUUCUUCUAAUUUUUUUAACGUUAUACUUUUGACAAUUUAUAUGUAGAUGGCUUGGAAAGGUUACUCUUGAAACCUACAUUUCUCAGUUCCACAUCUGGUUGAGGUACUUCCUACUAUAUAAAGUUUCUUCGGAGUAUACCACAUGAUCCAGUGAUGACAAAUUCGAGUUCGACUACAAAAUUUUAG